RNAcentral lists this ribosomal RNA (322 nucleotides) under uncultured eukaryote. RNAcentral's name for it is "partial 18S ribosomal RNA". It matches the Rfam family "Eukaryotic small subunit ribosomal RNA", at positions 1470 to 1796 of the family's 1831-position model. The record is from RNAcentral.
CCCUUAGAUGUUCUGGGCCGCACGCGUGCUACACUGAGUAAUUCAAUGGGUAAGGGAACGCUAGAGCAUUACCUAAUCUUGAAAUUUGCUCGUGAUGGGGAUCGACGGUUGCAAUUUUCCGUCGUGAACGAGGAAUACCUUGUAGGCGCAUGUCAUCAUCAUGCGCCGAAUACGUCCCUGCCCUUUGUACACACCGCCCGUCGCUACUACUGAUUGGAUGUUUAAGCGAGGUUCUCGAACUGCUAGCGACUUAGCUUCGGUGAGGUCGCAGUGUGGGAAGUGAACCUAGCUUUGGUGUCUAGAGGAAGUAAAAGUCGUAACA